RNAcentral lists this ribosomal RNA (207 nucleotides) under uncultured bacterium. RNAcentral's name for it is "partial 16S ribosomal RNA". It matches the Rfam family "Bacterial small subunit ribosomal RNA", at positions 1294 to 1500 of the family's 1533-position model. The record is from RNAcentral.
CGGAUUGUAGUCUGNAACCCGACUACAUGAAGCUGGAAUCGCUAGUAAUCGCAGGUCAGCAUACUGCGGUGAAUACGUUCCCGGGUCUUGUACACACCGCCCGUCACACCAUGGGAGCCGGAAAUGCCCGAAGCCAGUGACCCAACCUUAGGGAGGGAGCUGUCGAAGGUGGAGCCGGUAACUGGGGUGAAGUCGUAACAAGGUAGC